This 253-nucleotide ribosomal RNA is filed under the name uncultured bacterium. RNAcentral's name for it is "partial 16S ribosomal RNA". It matches the Rfam family "Bacterial small subunit ribosomal RNA", at positions 524 to 776 of the family's 1533-position model. The record is from RNAcentral.
UACGUAGGUGGCUAGCGUUGUCCGGAUUUACUGGGCGUAAAGAGCGCGCAGGCGGUCGUUCAAGUCGAGUGUGAAAGCCCCCGGCUCAACUGGGGAGGGUCACUCGAUACUGAUCGACUUGAAGGCGGGAGAGGGAAGCGGAAUUCCCGGUGUAGUGGUGAAAUGCGUAGAUAUCGGGAAGAACACCCGUGGCGAAGGCGGCUCUCUGGAACGCAACUGACGCUGAGACGCGAAAGCGUGGGGAGCAAACAGG